UACGGAGGAUGCAAGCGUUAUCCGGAUUUAUUGGGUUUAAAGGGUGCGCAGGUGGUUUAAUAAGUCAGUGGUGAAAGUCUGGCGCUUAACGUUAGGAUUGCCAUUGAUACUGCCGUUCUAGAGUACAGUUGGGGUGGGCGGAAUGUGUCAUGUAGCGGUGAAAUGCUUAGAUAUUACACAGAACACCGAUUGCGAAGGCAGCUUACUAAUCCAUCAUUGACGCUGAGGCACGAAAGCGUGGGGAUCAAACAGG
This 253-nucleotide ribosomal RNA is filed under the name uncultured bacterium. RNAcentral describes it as "partial 16S ribosomal RNA". It matches the Rfam family "Bacterial small subunit ribosomal RNA", at positions 524 to 776 of the family's 1533-position model. The record is from RNAcentral.